Molecule: long non-coding RNA, 493 nt
Filed under: Apteryx owenii (little spotted kiwi)
Lineage: Eukaryota; Metazoa; Chordata; Aves; Apterygiformes; Apterygidae
Description: lncRNA (ENSAOWG00000012762.1)
Source: RNAcentral
GGGUUGGACUAGAUGAUCUCAAGAGGUUCCUUCAAACCUCAACCAUUUUGUGAUUCAUUAUCACUGGAGCUUUUCUUCCUUUCAUUUUUAAUCAUAGAUGUGUUAGUUUUGAUGUUAAAAGAAAAUACAUACGUUUAACAUUAAGGGUCUGAGUUUUCUCAGUAUCAUUUAAGUACAUUUUUAUUUUUAGUUCUUGGCCCCGAAAGAAAAGCAAAAUGAAACUCCGCCUGCCACAGACGAAGGUGGUGACGUUGAUGAUUUGCUGGACAUGAUGUGACUGGGCACUACAAGGUGACCAUACUGGUGAAGGUUUGGAAAAGAUCUCCCUGUGAGAUGGGGCACAAAACAAGAUGCCAAGGAGAAGACAGUAUAUCCAUCUUUAUUUUCUCAAAAGGGAGUGAAUGUUACAGCUUUCAAGAUAUCACAGAAAACAGAAGUUUCUCUAAUGUGGUGUAUAAGUAGAAACACUUUCUAUCUGCUGUCUGAGACAAGG